This 432-nucleotide ribosomal RNA is filed under the name uncultured bacterium. Its description in RNAcentral is "bacterial SSU rRNA". It matches the Rfam family "Bacterial small subunit ribosomal RNA", at positions 30 to 489 of the family's 1533-position model. The record is from RNAcentral.
AUUGAACGCUGGCGGUAUGCCUAACACAUGCAAGUCGAACGAGGUAGCAAUACCUAGUGGCGGACGGGUGAGGAAUACGUAGGGAUCUGCCCUUAAGUGGGGGAUAACCCGGGGAAACCCGGAUUAAUACCGCAUGAUCUCGCAAGAGCAAAGAGGGGGACCGCAAGGCCUCUCGCUUUUGGAGGAACCUACGUCGGAUUAGCUAGUUGGUGAGGUAAUGGCUCACCAAGGCGACGAUCCGUAACUGGUCUGAGAGGAUGAUCAGUCACACCGGAACUGAGACACGGUCCGGACUCCUACGGGAGGCAGCAGUGGGAAUAUUGGACAAUGGGCGAAAGCCUGAUCCAGCAAUACCGCGUGUGUGAAGAAGGCCUCGGUUGUAAGCACUUAAGUUAGGGUAAGGAAAAAAGAACGUUACUACCUAACUAACGU